RNAcentral lists this ribosomal RNA (454 nucleotides) under uncultured bacterium. RNAcentral's name for it is "partial 16S ribosomal RNA". It matches the Rfam family "Bacterial small subunit ribosomal RNA", at positions 28 to 507 of the family's 1533-position model. The record is from RNAcentral.
GAUGAACGCUGACAGAAUGCUUAACACAUGCAAGUCUACUUGAACUUCGGUUUGGGUGGCGGACGGGUGAGUAACGCGUAAAGAACUUGCCUCACAGAUAGGGACAACAUUUGGAAACGAAUGCUAAUACCUGAUAUUAUGAUUUUAGGGCAUCCUUGAAUUAUGAAAGCUAUAUGCACUGUGAGAGAGCUUUGCGUCCCAUUAGCUAGUUGGAGAGGUAACGGCUCACCAAGGCGAUGAUGGGUAGCCGGCCUGAGAGGGUGAUCGGCCACAAGGGGACUGAGACACGGCCCUUACUCCUACGGGAGGCAGCAGUGGGGAAUAUUGGACAAUGGACCAAGAGUCUGAUCCAGCAAUUCUGUGUGCACGAUGAAGUUUUUCGGAAUGUAAAGUGCUUUCAGUUGGGAAGAAAAAAAUGACGGUACCAACAGAAGAAGUGACGGCUAAAUACGUG